This 497-nucleotide ribosomal RNA is filed under the name uncultured bacterium. RNAcentral describes it as "partial 16S ribosomal RNA". It matches the Rfam family "Bacterial small subunit ribosomal RNA", at positions 28 to 507 of the family's 1533-position model. The record is from RNAcentral.
GAUGAACGCUGGCGGCGUGCCUAAUACAUGCAAGUCGAGCGAACAGACGAGGAGCUUGCUCCUCUGACGUUAGCGGCGGACGGGUGAGUAACACGUGGAUAACCUACCUAUAAGACUGGGAUAACUUCGGGAAACCGGAGCUAAUACCGGAUAAUAUAUUGAACCGCAUGGUUCAAUAGUGAAAGACGGUUUUGCUGUCACUUAUAGAUGGAUCCGCGCCGCAUUAGCUAGUUGGUAAGGUAACGGCUUACCAAGGCAACGAUGCGUAGCCGACCUGAGAGGGUGAUCGGCCACACUGGAACUGAGACACGGUCCAGACUCCUACGGGAGGCAGCAGUAGGGAAUCUUCCGCAAUGGGCGAAAGCCUGAAGGAGCAAAGCCGCGUGAGUGAUGAAGGUCUUCGGAUCGUAAAACUCUGUUAUUAGGGAAGAACAAAUGUGUAAGUAACUAUGCACGUCUUGACGGUACCUAAUCAGAAAGCCACGGCUAACUACGUG